CCUACGGGUGGCAGCAGUGGGGAAUAUUGCUCAAUGGGGGAAACCCUGAAGCAGCAACGCCGCGUGAAGGAUGAAGGUUUUCGGGUUGUAAACUCCUUUUGUUCGCGAGGAUAAUUACGUUAUCUACAGACUACUCCCCUGCUCACUCCGGUCCAGCAGCCACUGUAAUCCGGCGGGUGCAAGCGUUCCUCGGAAUCACUGGGCGUAAAGAGCACGUAGGCGGGAUAGCAAGUCAGCUGUGAAAUCCUUUGGCUUAACCAUAGAACUGAAGUUGAAACUGUGAUUCUAGAGUAUGGGAGAGGGAGGCAGAAUUCGUGGUGUAGGGGUAAAAUGCGUAGAGAUCAAGAGGAAUACUCAUUGCGAAGGCGACCUGCUAGAACAUAACUGACGCUGAUGCGCGAAAGCGUGGGGAGCAAACAGGAUUAGAUACCCUAGUAGUC
Molecule: ribosomal RNA, 440 nt
Filed under: uncultured bacterium
Lineage: Bacteria
Description: partial 16S ribosomal RNA
Rfam family: Bacterial small subunit ribosomal RNA
Source: RNAcentral